RNAcentral lists this long non-coding RNA (3241 nucleotides) under Erythranthe guttata (spotted monkey flower). RNAcentral describes it as "long non-coding RNA (EGUT_LNC000584)". The record is from RNAcentral. Lineage: Eukaryota; Viridiplantae; Streptophyta; Magnoliopsida; Lamiales; Phrymaceae.
UGUUUGCGUCAAUGUCGAAGAUUUAUGAUUUGGAAUUGCAAAACUCUAAUUGUGAGAUAGUUGCUCAUGAUUGAUUGGAUUUCUUAUUAUAGUGUUGGCAUAUUCAUAUUUAUUUUACCAAGACCAAAUCUCAUCUUCCAGAUUGGAUCAGUACGGUAUUGCGAAAUUUGCAGAAAGCUUUGAAAUGAUACCUAAAACUUUGGCUGAGAAUGCUGGGCUUAAUGCAAUAGAGAUCAUCUCAUCCUUAUAUGCCGAACAUGCUUCUGGUAACACCAAAGUGGGCAUUGAUUUGGAGGAAGGUGUCUGCAAAGAUGCCUCUACUGUGCGCAUAUGGGAUCUCCACAUUACUAAGUAAGUUACUCCUUGUGAGUGUAGAAUAAUUUAGAAUAAUGGGUUUUGAUACAUUUUUCUUCUGUAAAUAAUACUUGCUGAUUGGAAAAUAUGAAUAUUGCAAUGGAUUCCCCUCUCUGGUUUCUAGCUAGACCGUCCUAACCUGGCUUCUUUCCAUCCCUCAACUGCCUUAGACUGAACACAAGCUAGUGAUUUCAAUCCACCACACCUCUUCUAGUAGAUUUUAUCUUAGAAUCGUAUCUCAGAACAUCUACAAAAGUAAAUUGUAAACAUACUCACCACAUCAAAUUUGACAUUACGCAGAAAAUUGCUGCAAUAAAUCUGAUCUGUGGAGUUCCAUAUACCAAAGUACUCACUGUAAUUGGACUGCAUUACUUGAUUCAUUAAACUAAUAAGUGCCCUAACGUAAAAUAUCGGUGGGGGCGUUACCUUUCAUGAUUCUUAAGCUUUAUCUUACCUGCACCACUAUUUGUUUGUAAGUCGAAAUGUGCCCCCAUCCUGGUUAUCUUACAGAGUUAGUGAGUAAAUGCAGCUCCGUUGUCACCCUUGGUAUGUUUUCAUGUGAUUAAACUUAACUAUCUUGCUAGUGCUAGUAAUUUGAAUACGCAGCUAAAUCCAGGCGAUAAGGUUGCCAUCUAGCACUGAUUAUGAUUUGACUUGUGUAUUUUGCAUUUUUGGAAGAUUCUUUGCCCUAAAGUAUGCUGCUGAUGCUGCCUGUACUGUCCUGCGAGUAGACCAGGUAAUUAGCUAUCAUUUAUCUUAGUCUUUACCAUCAGUUAUCACUGACGAGCUUUCAUUAGAUUUGGUCAAGAAAUGAUAUGUAUUUUAAAGCUGAUUUGGUCUUUUCUGUUGAGUUUAUCUAGAAUGAUUACUUAUUUCUGAAAAUUUGUAUACCUAGACUUUUGUAACUGCUUUUCAAUGUUAUUUAACCUCCGAAAAGCUGAUUUCUGGAUCGUGUUCUUGCACUUCUUAUCCUGCCCUUAUGACCUUAACAGGGGUUGAGCUUUCCGAGUCAGGAUCAUCUCGUUUUGCUAGUCAUUUUUUUUCCUGCUAAUUCAUUGUUAUGUGUUCUUGGUGCUAAAACCUUUAUACCCUUAUCUGCAGAUAAUUAUGGCAAAACCAGCUGGCGGUCCCAAGCCCCAACAACAAGGAGGGAUGGAUGAGGAUUAAUUUUAGUGGGCUACACAUUUUCUUUACAUAUUUCAUGCGCUUGUUCUUCCGUUUUUGUUCUUAUCCUUUUGGCCUGAGAUUUUUUUUUUUUUUUUUUUUUUUUGAGAACGCCCUAGACUAUUAUUUUGGUUCUGAUUUUAUCUGUAUAUGCUGCUUUUUGGUCCUAUUUUGAUUAAUGGAUCAAUAGUGACUGGGUUGUGUUCGUGUUGUAACAGAGUUUUAUUAUGGAGAUAACUGUCGUUUCAUUCAAAUUUUUUUUUGGCCCCAAAUUCUUAUUUUAAUUACUGGGUUAGCAAAAGUAGUGUGUGUAAUUGAUGCAAAUUUUUUAGCAUAAUUAUUAUUGAAUAAGGAAUAUGUUAAAUAUAUUUUCGAAAAUAUUUACAGGACUCAAUAUGCAGUUUUGUAGGAAAUUCCCGAAGGCCCUUGUGCUGCUGUAUGGACUCAGUCUAAAACAUGACGUUGGUUCUGAUUCUGAGCCAUUUCAAUUUUAAGAAGGAUAAUACAAGUCCAGGGAUUAAAAAAGAAGACCUAUUUAUCACCUUGAAACACUUCAAAAAAAAAAAAAAAAAAACUAAAAACAGACGUGAGGUAGGAUAUUGAUUUAAUGUAUUACGUAAACCGGUUCGUUAACUGUGUAUAUGCUUUUUUCUCUUCAAAUAUAACAGUAUAUUUUAGAGAUCCAAUGUUUUAUUUUAUAUUAUAGACCAAUAAAAAGACAAUAUCAGAAGGCCUGCAUAAUGUCUAUAGAUAUUUAACGGCUAGAAAUUGUAGGCUUGUGGUUCUUUUAUAGGCAAAAGCAUGAUGAUGUGAUUAUUGACAAAGGUAGUUCACUAUUUCAAAUGUAUGCAUUAAAAGAUUCAGGCACAAAAUGACACUCAAUAACCUUUUUGUACAUCAGUAACUGAUCAAUUUCAUCCUAUAAAAAAAACCUGUGUAGCAAGUAAAAUGAAAUAUGUAUAUGCUGUUAUGAUAAAGAGAAUCAUGCUUUAGGGGCUUAAAGCAAGAAGGGUGUGUGGAGAACAGUGAGGAACACAACGAAGUUAAGGACGUUUUUGUAACCUUGAGUAAGAUAAGAGAUGAAGCAUCUUCUUCACCGUAUAUCAUUUCUUCAUUGACAAGUUCCUCUUCAUUAGCUUCCGAAUUAACUUCUUUAUUGUAUUCGAUCGAUAAUCGGUCUAACGGUGGUUUCACAUGCCUGUGGAUCACUACGUUGUAGAGAGUGUAAGAUCAAAUGGCUCAUGAUAACAUGAUUUCUUUCUUUUCGAGACAUGCCACGAUAUCUUCCAAGUGCCGACAAGAUUAAAGCCUCAUAUAAUACUUUCUUGCACAAACUCGAUCGUGGGUAACCCAUUUCGCCUUAUUUAUACCGAAAACCUUGUCGUUCACAUCCCAAUAUUAGUAGUGUUAGUUGAAGAAAAUAACACCCGUCCUUGAUCAUCAUCAAAUUAAAAACAUGAUCUUCGUCGUUCACAUCCCAAUAUUAGUACUAAGACCAAAUCUUAUCUUCCAGAUUGGAUCAGUACGGUAUUGCGAAAUUUGCAGAAAGCUUUGAAAUGAUACCUAAAACUUUGGCUGAGAAUGCUGGGCUUAAUGCAAUAGAGAUCAUCUCAUCGUUAUAUGCCGAACAUGCUUCUGGUAACACCAAAGUGGGCAUUGAUUUGGAGGAAGGUGUCUGCAAAGAUGCCUCGACUGUGCGCAUAUGGGAUCUCCACAUUACUAA